CUCUGUGACUCCUACGGGAGGCAGCAGUGGGGAAUAUUGCACAAUGGGCGCAAGCCUGAUGCAGCAACGCCGUGUGAGUGAAGAAGGUUUCGGAUCGUAAAACUCUGUCCUAAGGGAAGAAAAAAUGACGGUACCUUAGGAGGAAGCCCCGGCUAACUACGUGCCAGCAGCCGCGGUAAUACGUAGGGGGCAAGCGUUAUCCGGAAUCACUGGGCGUAAAGGGUGCGUAGGCGGCUUGACAAGCCAGGGGUGAAAGGCAUUGGCUCAACCAAUGUAAGCCUUUGGAACUGUUAAGCUUGAGUGCAGGAGAGGUAAGUGGAAUUCCUAGUGUAGAGGUGAAAUUCGUAGAUAUUAGGAGGAACACCAGUGGCGAAGGCGACUUACUGGACUGUAACUGACGCUGAUGCACGAAAGCGUGGGUAGCGAACAGGAUUAGAUACCCUGGUAG
RNAcentral lists this ribosomal RNA (448 nucleotides) under uncultured bacterium. RNAcentral describes it as "bacterial SSU rRNA". It matches the Rfam family "Bacterial small subunit ribosomal RNA", at positions 328 to 793 of the family's 1533-position model. The record is from RNAcentral.